RNAcentral lists this ribosomal RNA (814 nucleotides) under Escherichia coli. Its description in RNAcentral is "bacterial LSU rRNA". It matches the Rfam family "Bacterial large subunit ribosomal RNA", at positions 397 to 1212 of the family's 2925-position model. The record is from RNAcentral. Lineage: Bacteria; Pseudomonadati; Pseudomonadota; Gammaproteobacteria; Enterobacterales; Enterobacteriaceae.
CUGUGAGCUCGAUGAGUAGGGCGGGACACGUGGUAUCCUGUCUGAAUAUGGGGGGACCAUCCUCCAAGGCUAAAUACUCCUGACUGACCGAUAGUGAACCAGUACCGUGAGGGAAAGGCGAAAAGAACCCCGGCGAGGGGAGUGAAAAAGAACCUGAAACCGUGUACGUACAAGCAGUGGGAGCACGCUUAGGCGUGUGACUGCGUACCUUUUGUAUAAUGGGUCAGCGACUUAUAUUCUGUAGCAAGGUUAACCGAAUAGGGGAGCCGAAGGGAAACCGAGUCUUAACUGGGCGUUAAGUUGCAGGGUAUAGACCCGAAACCCGGUGAUCUAGCCAUGGGCAGGUUGAAGGUUGGGUAACACUAACUGGAGGACCGAACCGACUAAUGUUGAAAAAUUAGCGGAUGACUUGUGGCUGGGGGUGAAAGGCCAAUCAAACCGGGAGAUAGCUGGUUCUCCCCGAAAGCUAUUUAGGUAGCGCCUCGUGAAUUCAUCUCCGGGGGUAGAGCACUGUUUCGGCAAGGGGGUCAUCCCGACUUACCAACCCGAUGCAAACUGCGAAUACCGGAGAAUGUUAUCACGGGAGACACACGGCGGGUGCUAACGUCCGUCGUGAAGAGGGAAACAACCCAGACCGCCAGCUAAGGUCCCAAAGUCAUGGUUAAGUGGGAAACGAUGUGGGAAGGCCCAGACAGCCAGGAUGUUGGCUUAGAAGCAGCCAUCAUUUAAAGAAAGCGUAAUAGCUCACUGGUCGAGUCGGCCUGCGCGGAAGAUGUAACGGGGCUAAACCAUGCACCGAAGCUGCGGCAGCGAC